GAGGGUGUAGCUCAGUGGUGGCAGAGUGCCUGCUUAGCAUGCACAAGGUCCAGGGUUCCAUCCCCAGUACCUCCA
RNAcentral lists this transfer RNA (75 nucleotides) under Camelus bactrianus (Bactrian camel). It matches the Rfam family "tRNA". From Rfam's summary of the family: Transfer RNA (tRNA) molecules are approximately 80 nucleotides in length. Their secondary structure includes four short double-helical elements and three loops (D, anti-codon, and T loops). Further hydrogen bonds mediate the characteristic L-shaped molecular structure. tRNAs have two regions of fundamental functional importance: the anti-codon, which is responsible for specific mRNA codon recognition, and the 3' end, to which the tRNAs corresponding amino acid is attached (by aminoacyl-tRNA synthetases). tRNAs cope with the degeneracy of the genetic code in two manners: having more than one tRNA (with a specific anti-codon) for a particular amino acid; and 'wobble' base-pairing, i.e. permitting non-standard base-pairing at the 3rd anti-codon position. Lineage: Eukaryota; Metazoa; Chordata; Mammalia; Artiodactyla; Camelidae. The record is from Rfam by way of RNAcentral. RNAcentral also lists the same sequence under 2 other names.